Molecule: ribosomal RNA, 179 nt
Filed under: Staphylococcus aureus
Lineage: Bacteria; Bacillati; Bacillota; Bacilli; Caryophanales; Staphylococcaceae
Description: partial 16S ribosomal RNA
Rfam family: Bacterial small subunit ribosomal RNA
Source: RNAcentral
UUUAUGGAGAGUUUGAUCCUGGCUCAGGAUGAACGCUGGCGGCGUGCCUAAUACAUGCAAGUCGAGCGAACGGACGAGAAGCUUGCUUCUCUGAUGUUAGCGGCGGACGGGUGAGUAACACGUGGAUAACCUACCUAUAAGACCGGGAUAACUUCGGGAAACCGGAGCUAAUACCGGAU